RNAcentral lists this transfer RNA (71 nucleotides) under Marmota monax (woodchuck). RNAcentral describes it as "tRNA.Thr". It matches the Rfam family "tRNA". From Rfam's summary of the family: Transfer RNA (tRNA) molecules are approximately 80 nucleotides in length. Their secondary structure includes four short double-helical elements and three loops (D, anti-codon, and T loops). The record is from RNAcentral. Lineage: Eukaryota; Metazoa; Chordata; Mammalia; Rodentia; Sciuridae.
GGGCACAGCUGAGUGGUAUAGCAUCUGCUUAGUGUACACAAUAUCCUGGGUUCAAUCCCCAGCACUGCCCA